UCCGGUAAGUGAAUAUAAUGAAAGUUCGAAGGAAGUAGACUUCAUUGAAUAUAGUCUCUUCCUCGUUCAGAAAACAAAACCAGAGCUUGGAAAGCUUUAUCCUGAACAAGUCAAGUUGUCAGAGGAAGAUAUUGAGCAAGCAAUCAUUAUGGCAACAAGACUAUUUAUAAUUUUGGUCCUUGUCCUUGUCUUGCUUUGCUGUUUACUUCUGGGUAACAUCGCUGCAAUUCCAGUUCGACGUCCAGACGGAUUGGCCGAAAAUCGAUCCAAUCGGGCAGUCGGCGACCUUCGAAGCUGUCUUUUGGCCUGUUCUGAGGGCACAGCUGCCAUUCAGGCAUUCUGCAGAACAAUCCCUUUGCCACGGGUGAGAGCGGCUUGUUGGGCAGUUCAGUUUGCUAGUGUGCCUGUGUGCAAUGGAUUUUGUUAUGCCUACUUUGGCUGAGUCAAUCUAUGCAGGUCUGAACAUCGCAACUCGUGGAUACUGAAAUUAAACAAAAUUAAAUCUUUGGGGAAAUACUUUGUCAAUAUAUUUCUGGAUAUGUAACUAUCUAUGUAAUCUUUAACAUGUAGUUGUGAGCAAAUCAAUAAAAUAGAUGUUCAACGCAAUA
Dendronephthya gigantea is the source of this 608-nucleotide long non-coding RNA. RefSeq lists it as uncharacterized. NCBI's taxonomy places the organism in Eukaryota, Metazoa, Cnidaria, Anthozoa, Malacalcyonacea, Nephtheidae. The record is from RefSeq and is a predicted model, not a curated record. The transcript has 2 exons.